Bombyx mori (domestic silkworm) is the source of this 84-nucleotide non-coding RNA. The record is from Rfam. NCBI's taxonomy places the organism in Eukaryota, Metazoa, Arthropoda, Insecta, Lepidoptera, Bombycidae.
UUAACUCUAAUUUGUAUGGAGUUAGAACGUUUGUCUACGUUUGCCGCUAGGGGCGCUGUUCCAACUGCAUACAAAUCAGAGUCA